RNAcentral lists this long non-coding RNA (311 nucleotides) under Capsicum annuum. RNAcentral's name for it is "long non-coding RNA (CANN_LNC004629)". Lineage: Eukaryota; Viridiplantae; Streptophyta; Magnoliopsida; Solanales; Solanaceae. The record is from RNAcentral.
CAGGGUCAAGUUGUAGAUCAGGGUUAAGGCGUUGAAGUCUUGCGAUGAUGUUAAUUGCAAUUUGUUGUUGCAUUGUAUCAUUUUAUUCCUCAAAUAUUUCUAGCAUUCUUUGUUUCAUCCUCUCUUCUAUUUUCUUCAUUUUUUGUUGCAGCAGAUUACCGGAGGGUGCAGGAUCUCCCACUUUCUCUUUCAAUGUUGUCUUGUUAACUCCACGUCCAUACAAUCUUACAAAUCUUGAAUGCUCAGGUCCCAUGACUGAUGCAAAGGCAUCAACUGGCUCAGUAUCAUCUUCUCUUUCUUGAGUUUGUAUU